UACGUAGGGUGCAAGCGUUAAUCGGAAUUACUGGGCGUAAAGCGUGCGCAGGCGGUUCGGAAAGAAAGAUGUGAAAUCCCAGAGCUUAACUUUGGAACUGCAUUUUUAACUACCGAGCUAGAGUGUGUCAGAGGGAGGUGGAAUUCCGCGUGUAGCAGUGAAAUGCGUAGAUAUCGUAAGGAAGGCCGGUGGCGAAAGCGA
RNAcentral lists this ribosomal RNA (201 nucleotides) under uncultured bacterium. Its description in RNAcentral is "partial 16S ribosomal RNA". It matches the Rfam family "Bacterial small subunit ribosomal RNA", at positions 524 to 724 of the family's 1533-position model. The record is from RNAcentral.